AUGUUUCUCUUUUUCUCCAGAUUAAGUUUUCGUUUGGAGUGGAUUUGCCAAUUUGAUCUGAAAUGAUAUGAUGAUCAUGGCCCUGGAAAGUGUGAGUGCUGCGUGUGUUACUUUCCAUAGGCAAGACCCCCGUGGAAUUCCGCAACUGGCUGAUGGAGAGGGUAUGGUUUACGUGCAGACUGGUGACUGAAGGAGUAACCAGAGAAUUGGAGAUGGAACACCCCCCCCCCUGGAAAAAAAACUGAGGUCAUUAGAAAACAUGCUCCACAUUUCAAGCAAGAAGGACAGAUUUUGAAAUCCGACGGGACAAUCGUUAAAACAGUUCUUCUAAGAUAGAGUGGGCUGGCUACAAAGAUCAACGAGGUGGACC
Molecule: long non-coding RNA, 370 nt
Organism: Lytechinus variegatus (green sea urchin)
Lineage: Eukaryota; Metazoa; Echinodermata; Echinoidea; Temnopleuroida; Toxopneustidae
Exons: 3
Source: RefSeq, a predicted model, not a curated record